RNAcentral lists this ribosomal RNA (467 nucleotides) under uncultured bacterium. RNAcentral's name for it is "partial 16S ribosomal RNA". It matches the Rfam family "Bacterial small subunit ribosomal RNA", at positions 28 to 507 of the family's 1533-position model. The record is from RNAcentral.
GACGAACGCUGGCGGCGUGCUUAACACAUGCAAGUCGAACGGAAAGGCCCUGCUUUUGUGGGGUGCUCGAGUGGCGAACGGGUGAGUAACACGUGAGUAACCUGCCCUUGACUUUGGGAUAACUUCAGGAAACUGGGGCUAAUACCGGAUAGGAGCUCCUGCUGCAUGGUGGGGGUUGGAAAGUUUCGGCGGUUGGGGAUGGACUCGCGGCUUAUCAGCUUGUUGGUGGGGUAGUGGCUUACCAAGGCUUUGACGGGUAGCCGGCCUGAGAGGGUGACCGGCCACAUUGGGACUGAGAUACGGCCCAGACUCCUACGGGGGGCAGCAGUGGGGAAUAUUGCACAAUGGGCGGAAGCCUGAUGCAGCAACGCCGCGUGCGGGAUGACGGCCUUCGGGUUGUAAACGGCUUUCGCCGGUGACGAAGCGUGAGGGACGGUAAUGGGUAAAAAGCACCGGCUAACUACGUG